ACCUCAUCCAGAGCGGCCGAGAGACGUGGCUCCACGACGCCGCGGCAACCCGGCGGACCGACAGGUCCGACCACGGGUGCCACUGCCACGAACGAUGCGAA
RNAcentral lists this non-coding RNA (101 nucleotides) under Kytococcus sp. HMSC28H12. Its description in RNAcentral is "SAM riboswitch aptamer (S box leader)". It matches the Rfam family "SAM riboswitch aptamer (S box leader)". Rfam says of the family: The SAM riboswitch is found upstream of a number of genes which code for proteins involved in methionine or cysteine biosynthesis in Gram-positive bacteria. The SAM riboswitch acts at the level of transcription termination control. Lineage: Bacteria; Bacillati; Actinomycetota; Actinomycetes; Micrococcales; Kytococcaceae. The record is from Rfam by way of RNAcentral. RNAcentral also lists the same sequence under 1 other name.